Molecule: long non-coding RNA, 1728 nt
Organism: Cavia porcellus (domestic guinea pig)
Lineage: Eukaryota; Metazoa; Chordata; Mammalia; Rodentia; Caviidae
Exons: 2
Source: RefSeq, a predicted model, not a curated record
AAACGACGGAGUCUCGGGCCGGAGCCUUGCGGGAUUUGGUUUCUUGUGGACCCUGGGAAUUCCAGUUUUCUGCUCAUGAGAAAGCCUAGUUUUCCAGACUUUUGACUUUUCUUGGUCCUCUGUGACCAGGUCUGUCGAAGAGGCAGAGAAAGGAACAAAUAACAGCCACAGCAUCAGGCAUGCUGGUGCACUCCUGUACUCCCAGCAGUGAGGAUCGCCGUGAGUUCCAGGCCAGCCUGAACUACGUAGCGAAAUCUUGUCUCGGAAAGAAAAAAGGAAGGAAAGAAGGAAGAAGGAAGGAAGGAGAAAAAAUAAAAACAGCCACAGAGGUCAUGACAGAAGUGUGCCCAAAGUACAUUAAAAAAAAGAAUUUACGUCGGGGUGCUUUUUAAAGAUGACCUUUGAUAUUCUUCAGGGGAUAUCAGCAGGUUCAUUUAAUCACAACCUUCCCGGUCCCUGUUUCCAGGACUGUUACUGUCUCCCAAAGAAACGUGAUGAAAGACGUCAAGCACUAGUAAGAGAAACUUGGCUGAGGGUCUUGGCUUUACAUGUGUCCAACAAUCAGUGGAACUAUGGUAGUGACAAUUAUAACCCUGUGAAAGUACUACCACAAGGUACUCUGUUGCUCAAACAACAGUUCUUAGAAAAUCUGUGUAAAGAAUGUGAAAAGCAAGGAGAUUUAAAAAAAACAAAGAAGAAGUUGGGAAUAGUGUCACGUCUGUGAUAUCAGCACUAAGGAGGCUGAGGCGAGAGGAAUGCCAUGACUUUGAGGCCAGCCUGGGAUACAUAGUGACUUCAAGGCCAGCUUUAAUUAUAUAGUGAGACCCUGUCUUAAAACAAGCAAACAGAAAACAGUAAAAAACAAUAGGCAAGAGUUUGGAAAUGCUUAUUCCUAGAAAAAGAUCCAGUACCCAGUGUCUGAGUUAUAGAAUCUAGUAUGUGACACCUGCCCUUCCUCAACUCUCCAGCUUGAAUUUCUGAACAGCAUUUUCACUUUAUCCCCUUUGCUUUCUUCUUCUUUUAACCAUUUGUUUAUUCCCUGUAAAUUGUGCUAAUACAGAGUAUCUGAUUCACAGAAAGGGGCACUGGAGUCAACUUCUUGGGAAGCAGAGGCAAAAGGAUUGUGAGUUUGAGGCUAGUCAAGCCACAGCAAAAUCCUGCUGCAGGGAGGCUGGGACAGUGGGUAUCUGGCUUCCAACUCUUCGAGAUAGUAAUGUACUGUAAGCAAUUUCACACACACUGUCUUCAGAAGAUCCUGAUGUCCUUGGAGUACAACAAAUGCUGAUUCCAUAUGUUCUUUGUCAUUCCUUCUCAAGCUUUACUGUGAAGAACGGAUUACCUGAGGAUCAUGUUAAAAGUGUAGAUUCUCCUUCAGCAGAUCAAAAAGAGUUGGGAUGGGGACCAACAAAAUUUUUGUUUCCUAUCUCCAUAAUUUUGCCAAACACUACUUAAAUGUUUCACUUGCCUUAUUUAAUGCCUUAUUUAAUUCUUCUUACUCUGUUCCAACACAAACUGGCCCCAGGGAAUGAGGACCAGUCCUUUACUGUGGGAUCAAAGAAAGAGGCAAUCCUAGGACUGUGCGGAUGGGGCUUACUGAGAACUUACAGACAGCAACUGGGGCCUACAUGGCAGCAAGAUCAAUGGCUCUUGGAAUUUGGGUUAGAUAAGGAGACUUACAUUGUGGUCAGAACAGAAGUGACUUCAAAAUAAUAAAAUUUUAAAAAGUGA